RNAcentral lists this transfer-messenger RNA (353 nucleotides) under Gemmatimonadota bacterium. It matches the Rfam family "transfer-messenger RNA". From Rfam's summary of the family: Bacterial tmRNA, also known as 10Sa RNA or SsrA, is named for its dual tRNA and mRNA-like properties. Its role is to liberate the mRNA from a stalled ribosome. To accomplish this part of the tmRNA is used as a reading frame that ends in a translation stop signal. The record is from RNAcentral. Lineage: Bacteria; Pseudomonadati; Gemmatimonadota.
GGGGGCGUCACGGUUUCGACGUGUCUGGUGAACGUGGAGUAGCGUGCCGAGGUCUCUCGACCCUCGUUAAUCUUCGGGAAACUUUUUAACUGCCAACAACAACCUGGCAUUGGCCGCGUAAGCUUCUUACCGGUCCGGUUCUUGGAUUGCCUGCCCGAGGCGGUCCCUGAAGCGUCGCUAAUUCGGGCUGGGCCUCCGGUUUCGUCACCGCAUCGGAGAUCGAGAUACAAGGUGACUGGUUGUGGUGCGGUCGGUCGCUGACCGCCCACGACGAGACUAACAGCGUCCUACGCACGUAGAGACUCUGCAGGACCCAAAUGCGGACGCGGGUUCGACUCCCGCCGCCUCCACUC